UUUCUAAGCUCCCCCCGCCCUCUCGCCGCGGUGCCCUGAGCGCCCUCAGAGCGGCUCCCACAGCAGCGGCGCCGCCUGUGCCGCCCCCCCCCCCCCCCUUCCGUGUGUGUGCCAGCGCACCUGGGUCCUCCCCCUCAUUCCCUCCCUCCCUCCCUCCCUCCCUCCCUGGGAGCCGCUCUCCCUGCGCCCCACAGAUAAGGCGCUGGGCUCACCCCACCCCACGGGGCGCUGGGUUGUGCUGGAUAAGCAGGGCCCCGCCACGUUGAGGGGAAGUUUGCCCCGUUUCUCCCCCACCCCUCGCCCCCGGGUGUUUGACUUCGCACAGGACCCCCAGCGCACCCUCCCUUAACCCCGCGGGGAGCUGCGAUCACCCCUCACCCCCCCAUCCAUCCCCCUGUCCCGGUUACACUCGUGUCCUCCUAUUAACCCUGUGCAGAGAGGACAAAAGCUAAACUAUGAUCCUGGCUCUGCCUCCCCCCCCACCCCCCCCCAUCCCGCUCCCGGCUCCAUGAGCUUCACAUCCUCCUGCUAAGGCUGAAAGGAACAAGAACAAGAGCUGCUGAUGGUUCCCAGUCCUGCAUGCUGAAGGAAGUGUGUGCUUCAGCACUGAUUAAAGUCAUGUAUGAGUUAAUGAGAAGCUUGCAGAGUAUGUGAAGCAAGAGAAAAUCUUUAACCAGCUCUGCUGUUCCUUCUACAUACCACAAACUUGCACGCUGUAACCAGAAGGUGGAUUGAAUAUGUGUGAAAUGCUGCAGUAGGAGACUCUUAAAUCGCAUCACAGGUUAAUAGAUUGAUAGCACAGAAGAGCCUCUGAGGUGCUGGAGGUACCAGCGGUGGUGUCAACAUUCCAGUUGUGGGACUUCUAAUUUAAGAAACGUAUUGUCAUAAGGAAUAAGAUCAAGGCUGAAUCCUGCUUGCAUUUAGGUCCAAAUGCAAAAUAUGCUUUGGAAGGAGUCCCCAGGGAACACUGAGAGUAAUUAAGUAAAAAUAAAACCUUUCACUUCAGCCCCCCCCCUCCCCCUUUUACCCCAAAAAGGUCAUGGCGAUGCUGUUUUCAUUCCACCAUUUUCAUUAUGUGUCCUGAUAUUUCUUAAUUUUGUAUUGCAUCUGAAAUCCUCGAGUGACUUAUAAUUUCUGUGAUUUGGGGGUAUUUCUAGACCAUACUUUUAAAGAAGUCAUCUCACUGUGUCCCAGAAGGAGCCAUUGAACAGUCAUUCUCAUAAACAGCACUGAACUUCUUACAGCCUCGCUUUUCCAAACACCUUUUUUUCCCCCCUGUAAUUUUAAUCCUUAACUAUUGAAUUCCCUUUUCUUUACAUUAAGUAAAUAUUUAUUAAUACCAGUUGAGGGGUUUUUUUCAUCUUUUUAAAAGAACAGAGCCUUGUCACCAAGAUGAUCCUUUUGUAUUGAGGAGAUGACAUAAAAAAGGAGUGAAGGAGAGUUGUCUUGUGCUGGAAAAUGCCAUUUUUGGAAAACAAUACUAUAGGAAAUGGAAAUGAAAAAUACAUUUUAUGCUGGUGGGAACUUGUAAUGAGGCUAAGAGAGGAUUUGAUGUCCCAGAAAAGCAAUGAUUACAAGGGGAAAAGCGGGACUUUAUCAUCCAUUUGUAAAAGUUCUCGGGCUGAAUAUCCUUUUGGGGAGCUGAAAUUUGGCUCAAGUCUGCUUAUGAACAUCUGUUGAAUGGAAUUUUAAAAAGGCACAGAUUAUAAUCUUGGUUUCUGUUGCCUGUUUAAGAUGAUAAAAUAAAGCAAAAUAAAUGUUUC
Molecule: long non-coding RNA, 1763 nt
Organism: Neopelma chrysocephalum (saffron-crested tyrant-manakin)
Lineage: Eukaryota; Metazoa; Chordata; Aves; Passeriformes; Pipridae
Exons: 3
Source: RefSeq, a predicted model, not a curated record